RNAcentral lists this transfer RNA (71 nucleotides) under Gemmatimonadetes bacterium 13_2_20CM_70_9. RNAcentral's name for it is "tRNA-Gln". It matches the Rfam family "tRNA". From Rfam's summary of the family: Transfer RNA (tRNA) molecules are approximately 80 nucleotides in length. Their secondary structure includes four short double-helical elements and three loops (D, anti-codon, and T loops). The record is from RNAcentral. Lineage: Bacteria; Pseudomonadati; Gemmatimonadota.
UGGCCCCUCGUCCAAUGGCAGGACACCAGACUUUGGAUCUGGGAAUGGUGGUUCGAGCCCACCGGGGCCAA